UCCUGAUCCACAGCUUGUCCUGGUGUUCCUGAUCCACAGCUUGUCCUGGUGUUCCUGAUCCACAGCUUGUCCUGGUGUUCCCAGUCCACAGCUUGUCCUGGUGUUCCUGAUCCACAGCUUGUCCUGGUGUUCCUGAUCCACAGCUUGUCCUGGUGUUCCCAGUCCACAGCUUGUCCUGGUGUUCCCAGUCCACAGCUUGUUCUGGUGUUCCUGAUCCACAGCUUGUCCUGGUGUUCCCGGUCCACAGCUUGUCCUGGUGUUCCUGAUCCGCAGCUGGUCCUGGUGUUCCUGAUCCGCAGCUUGUCCUGGUGUUCCUGAUCCGCAGCUGGUCCUGGUGUUCCUGAUCCGCAGCUUGUCCUGGUGUUCCUGAUCCGCAGCUUGUCCUGGUGUUCCUGAUCCGCAGCUUGUCCUGGUGUUCCUGAUCCGCAGCUGGUCCUGGUGUUCCUGAUCCGCAGCUGGUCCUGGUGUUCCUGAUCCGCAGCUUGUCCUGGUGUUCCUGAUCCGCAGCUUGUCCUGGUGUUCCUGAUCCGCAGCUUGUCCUGGUGUUCCUGAUCAGCAGCUUGUCCUGGUGUUCCUGAUCCACAGCUUGUCCUGGUGUUCCUGAUCCGCAGCUUGUCCUGGUGUUCCUGAUCCACAGCUUGUCCUGGUGUUCCUGAUCCACAGCUUGUCCUGGUGUUCCCAGUCCACAGCUUGUCCUGGUGUUCCUGAUCCACAGCUUGUCCUGGUGUUCCCAGUCCACAGCUUGUCCUGGUGUUCCUGAUCCGUAGCUUGUCCUGGUGUUCCUGAUCCACAGCUUGUCCUGGUGUUCCUGAUCCGCAGCUUGUCCUGGUGUUCCCGAUCCACAGCUUGUCCUGGUGUUCCCAGUCCACAGCUUGCCCUGGUGUUCCUGAUCCGCAGCUUGUCCUGGUGUUCCUGAUCCGCAGCUUGUCCGGGUGUUCCUGAUCCGCAGCUUGUCCUGGUGUUCCUGAUCCGCAGCUUGUCCGGGUGUUCCUGAUCCACAGCUUGUCCUGGUGUUCCCAGUCCACAGCUUGUCCUGGUGUUCCCGAUCCGCAGCUUGUCCUGGUGUUCCCGAUCCGCAGCUUGUCCUGGUGUUCCCGAUCCGCAGCUUGUCCUGGUGUUCCCGAUCCGCAGCUUGUCCUGGUGUUCCCGAUCCGCAGCUUGUCCUGGUGUUCCCGAUCCGCAGCUUGUCCUGGUGUUCCCGAUCCGCAGCUUGUCCUGGUGUUCCCGAUCCACAGCUUGUCCUGGUGUUCCCGAUCCACAGCUUGCCGUGGUUUUCCUGAUCCACAGCUUGCCGUGGUUUUCCCACUCCAACUUGUGGCUUAGAGUGGUCUAAUACACGGCUAGAAGUUGUUUAAAUCUUACUGAAAUUGGAGAGACAACUUGAAAAGGUAUACUUUUCUCUUUCCUAAGUUUUUACAUGUGGCCCUCAGAUGCUGCUGUGAAAAUACUUGUGUAGGUUUUGCUGAUUUACACAGCUGAUUUUAGUGGGCUUGGGGUUGUGAGAAGUGAAUUUGUAGUGUUAACGUUACUGUAACAAACAUUAAUUUCUGGGACACACCAGGUAUUUAACAAGGUACCUGGACGACUCACACAUGGGACAUGACAGCCUAGAAGAGAAGCAUUGAUAAUUGUGGACUGCUUCAAAUACACAUAAAGUGAUUAAAUUAAAUGAAUGUAAACUAAAAUGAAUGCAACACACACACCUGGUGUGUCCCAUAGUGUUAGUUACAGUACUCACAAUCUCAACCCCACUAAAAUCAGCUAUGUAAAUCAACUAUACCUACACAAGUAUUUUCACAGCAACAUCUGAGAGACACGUAAAAACGUAGGAAAGAGAAAAGUACACCUUUUCUAGUAGUCUCUCCCUCCAACUUCAACUUUCUUAUUCACUCGUUGUCUGUUUCUGGUGUUGAAACUCAGCUCUGCCAUCUAGUGACCUGGAGCACUUCCGUUGUGGAAUCCCCUCCAUUGUGUUAUCCUAUUUGUGGCGCGUUUCUGUUUUGCAGUGCAUUUCUGUUGUGAAGUGGGUUUCAUUUUGGGCGUUCCGUUUUUGUGCUGCGUUUGCACCCCUCGGCCACCGUACAGAAUCCUGCUGCUGGAACAGAACAUCCAUGUGAAAGUAGAAAACAUCUCGUGUGCCGUCUGGAAACCAUGGAGAGGUUUUAAAACAUAAUUAAUGAUCAGCUGUCUAGUGCUGUUUAAUACCAACAUCGACAGAUAUGAGGGUUUUUUUUUUUUAAGGGCCGAUACCGAUUAUUGGUCAUCAAUAAAAGCUGACAACUGAUAUUUGGAGCCAAUAUACAUUCAAUGUAAAGUUUUUAACAGCAUAUGAUAGAAGAGAAGCUGUCAUUCAUUAAUCAGGGCGACUAUAACUGAAUAUGUAAAAUAGAAAAAGAAGGGAUUAAAUUUGUCUGUUUAUGUGGAUCGACUGACAAUCAUCAGUUUUUCUUCUGCUGUUCUUCAUUUUCUUAAUAUUUCACCGUUUCAUCAUUUUUAUUUCCCACUAAGGUCCAGAUCUUAAAGCUUUAUUAUUUAAUUGUUUUCCAGAUUCUGUUUCAGGUUAAUCUGCCUUCUAACUUAGCCGCUAGCCGUUAGCAUAGCCUUAGCCGCUAGCCGUUAGCAUAGCCUUAGCCACUGUGAGACAAGUGUGGCAAGGCUACAAGGGUUAGAUGUAUGUUUGUUAUUUACCACGUGUCUGACAACGCCACCUGGGGGAGUUUCACCCCCAGGAGAUCUAUUUAAGGAGGACCACCACUCCAAUACAGAUAAAAGAAAGGUCACACAGGUACAAGAGACACCGGAGACUGAUGCAAUUCCAAGUAUAGAAAAAUGAAAUUUAUUAACAAUAUUUAAAAAUUGACACGCUUUCAUCACUAAAAAAACCUUGGUGGCGAUGCCAAGAAAUAACUCAGUAGUAAGUGGCACAGUAUUAAUCUAAUCCUCCAGGGGCCCCCCUGACUUGGUUAAGUUUGCCACUGAAACACCGUCGCCAGGCACAGGGCUGAGGGCUUACCAGGCAGAGAUGACUAACUGAAGGGGAGAAGGGUCCUGAUGCACCACACCACACGUGAACAAAACAAAACCACUGACGGACACCCAAGUGCACUACUGUACAGGGAGUAAAGGGACCACCACCGCCGGGGGAAUCAGUCAGCCACCAGCCACCUGGCCCAACAGCUCCUGUCCAAGAAAAAGAGGCAAACUGUUAGUCACGGGAAAAUGAGGCACACCUACAUAGAUCUCAAAUAAACUGCCCCAACACCACACUAGGCUGGGCCCAGGAGGUCACCCCCAAGGCCAAUUAUGCCAACAUGCACCCCUUACUCCCUUGCCCAGUCAACCCAAUAAACCAAAAACAGGAAAAAAAAAAAUUUAUAAACCCAAAAAAAGGAUAACUGGAUAACUUAAAUACGCAAACCCAACAAAUAAGUGAAUAAACAAUAAAUAAAUAACAAAACUAACUAAUAAAGAAUCCCAAGAUCUAUGCUAAUAAUUCCAACACUAAUAAUUCUAACACUAAUAAUUCUAACACUAAUAAUAAUAAUAAUAAUACUCUCAAUAACAGGCGUGCUGGGCAAUAGGCACGCGCACACCAAGAUCGUCGUUGUUUUGUUUUUAAAACAUCACACAACACCAAAAAAAAAACAAUAAAACAACUGCCGAUGAGCAGAGAGCUUGCCGCGAUGAACCACAGACAGAACAGCAGUAGCCCGCUUCUGCGAUAGAACCGGCCGUCCGUGAAGACGCAGCUCCUCAGGCAACAGGGGAGACAGCCGUGGAAGAAAGCAGCAUGAUCACUGCCAACAGCAACCAGAAACCAAAGUCAUCUCAUGUGCAGCCCAGCAAAAACACACACAAAAAAACGAGAGACAGAAACGAGCCAGCCUACCUCAGGAAUUCAAUACAGCGUGUGAAUUAUUACUCCCGGCUCCCAGCCUUCAGCCCGAAUACGGCCCGACUCUGCUAGAAAGCAGAAAGCACAUCAAACACCACUAAUAUAACCCAGCGAUGUAGCGACCGCGUCGGCACAUACCUGACAAGAGAAAGCUCGACAGCCAGCGUCUCGAGACCGCCACGUGGAUCCACACAUCCACGCCACGUUGCUGAUGUGGCACGUAGGCUCCAGAAAGAGGUAAGAGGAUGCACGUACAAAACGCGCAGCCCUCUCCCAGAUAUAACCUGGCGUGGCACCGCCCAGCAAGCAAGGUGCAUUAGGAUGAUUACUCCCAGCUGCACGAACCUGACUCAAUGCACACAACCUGAGUGGCCGUCCUACCACACCAGCUAACUUCCUGGUUUGUGUUUCUUGUUGAGUCUUUGCUUCUUUAGAGACGUUUCUGAGACCACAGAGUAACGGCAGACAGGCAUUUAAUCAAUCAAUAGUCGAUCAAUAGAAAUACAGAUACCGAUAACUGGGAAAAUGCCAAACAUUGGACAUGAUAAUCCCAAUCAGAAACCAUGGAAUCUUUCAUCAGCUGAGUGCAGAAAUGUGGUCUGGUGCAGAAUGAACAGACAAAAUGCGCAUUAAAGACCCACAAAUCUGAACAUAAGACAUCAAUAUAUACAUAAAACAUGGAUGAUGCUGCUGUCCAACAUUACAGUGUAUUAUAUUUAGCUGUUAGCAUAGCCUUAGCCGCUGUUAGAGAAGCAAAUUUCCUGGUUUCUUGUUGAGUUUUCACUACUUGAGAGACGUUUCUAAGACCACAGAGUGACGGCAGACAGAGAGAGGAGGCUGAUCACAGCUGAAGUAGAGCAUUUAGUUCAUCAAUAAUUAAUAAAUAAAAUUACAGAUACCAAUAAUUGGAAAAUUCCAAAUAUCAGAGACGAUGAUUGGAGACUCACGGAGACAUGUUUUGGUCAUUUAACCUGAAAAGGUGAUAUUUUUCACCCAUAAAUGAUGCACAGACCGAGUUAUUUUAGGAACAUUUCUACUGUCUGGUGCUUUUUAUGCCAAUCUUAAAGACAAUAAACGGCAGAAGGACUCGGACUGUCGUCACAGGAGUAGUUCUAGUCUUUGUUCAGGUGAACUGUGAUGACAGCGGGUCUGAAUGUGUUCACAGCAAUUAGUCGUAACCGGCGAGUGAAAGGACGGUUUGUCUACGUAGAAGGUGGUUUCUGUCCGUUUGACUCGGGGGUUGGAGUGAUUAUAAAACCGAGGAGGAUGACACAUUCUCCGUUUGUCCAGUGAAGGAUGAGAUAAUAAUAAGAUCCUGGAGAAACCUGACAAACGUAAAUCACAUUAAGUGAUUCAUUGGUUCAUCAUUACUGGACGGAGCUGGAUUUUAAUGAAGCUGUUUUUAAUUCCAAGAAAAAGAUUUAAAGUCUGCUUUUUUAAAAAAUGUUUUGCAAUUUUUCAUUUCAGGCCCCUAAAAUACCGGAAGAGGGAUCAAAGCGUUGCCAAGGAAGUGCCUUCAGAGCCACAGCAGUCUGAACAUUGUUGUUCGGUUUCAUUUCUGAAAAACACGGACAUUCAUUGGUUGUUUUUGAACAGAUUUUUUGCUUUUUAUUCCACUGUACCUGCAUGUACCAUAUAUUUGUAAGGAAAUAUUAAUUUAAUAUUAAAUGCACCUAUUUAUUGAAAGGGUCUGUAUAUAAUGAUUUCACAAGCAUUUCAAAAAUCUCAUUAUUUUGGUUAUAAAAGUUCUAUACGACGGAGAGGAAGCUCUGUUUAUUUUCUGCUCCUCCACUAUUAUGCUGAUAAUACCCGCCGUCAUUGUCUUCAUUGCAUUUUAUUUGGCACUUGAGUGACUGCUGACAAUGAGAACAUGUGGAAUAACAACCGUGGUGAUGAUGCACUGCAGUAUUGAACAAUAAAGAAUAUUGAAGCACAGCAUAUUUUCUAUUAUUUAAGACGAAGGCAGCGAGUGUGGAUAUUCUUCUGAUGGCAGUUCUCUUUGUUUUUUAAAUAAGAAAAUGCAGCCAGUUAGAUACAGCAGCAAGAAAAAGUGAUUUUAUCUGAACUGUAUUUGGUGCUUGAGUUCUAGAUUCCAGUUCAGAUGAUUUAAUGAGACAGACCAAACAGAAAAAUCUGCCAAAAGUGUU
Long non-coding RNA from Amphiprion ocellaris (clown anemonefish), 6042 nucleotides. NCBI's taxonomy places the organism in Eukaryota, Metazoa, Chordata, Actinopteri, Pomacentridae. The record is from Ensembl.